CCACUUGGUACCUCUUUUGUUGUUUGGUCCUUGUCUUUCUGUGACUUGUACAUGGCUUGUGCCUGUACUAUGUGCAUUGCAUGUUAUCACAUAGCUGCUAGUACCCAUGCUCUCACAUGUUUCUUUUCUCUUUUAGCUUGGUGUGCUUCUGGAGUUCUGCUCCUGUUUUUCCGAGGUUCCAUAUCCUGCUUCUUGCCUCUUCCUCUACCUGUUCAGCUGUUUAUUGCACUGUACAAUAUUCUCAUUGGUUGGUUGUUUUGCGAUUUAACUCCUUGUUUGUUUAUUAAAAGUUAUACUUUACCUUCACCAAGUCUAGGCGAAUCCCCAGUUAUGUCCAGAUUCCACUGUGGGUAAUAUACAGAAUGAAGUUGCUAAACUCUCAAGAUUAAAACAGUGUAUUUAAGAAAAGCUUAAUUUAAGAGGAUGGAUUGUUGUGCAGAUAGUGCAAGGAGGAGCUCAGAAAUCACAGAAACUGCUGUUUGCCCAAGACCAAAUUGUGAUAAGAAGAUUAUUAAUGCACAAUAAUGUAAGUAGGAUAAUUGGAAUAGAAUUGUACAACUUUGAUGAAUAGGAUCAUUACAAAAAUAUUGACAGAUGGUAAAAAGCCUUAUCUCAUUUAUAAUCACUUAGUAAAGUGGGGUGGUGUUAUGGGCAAAUGCAAAUAUUACAAGUUUUAGAAUGAAAUGUUGUAUUUCUUAAACUGGGUACUUUGUCUUUAAGAGAUAUUGCAAACUGACAGGGUGUUAGAAAUGGAACAUAUUGUUUUUCAUAACUGUUUCUUUAAGCAAAAACCAUAAUAUGUUUGCGCCAUUUUGUCCCAGACGAAUUACAAUAACAAUAAUGCAUAAACAAGCUUCAAGGCUAUACUACGACUCUUGCAGUACACAAUAUACUGUAGUAACCUUAAGUAGAUAAGGAUGUCCAGACUUUUAGAUGCCAUCUUAAACUAAGUCAGGAAAAUUUCCAUGACGUAUACACCCUUUAGUUAUGGCCUUGUAUGUUUGCCAAGUUAAGGGAGGUCCUAAAAUGAAUAAAGUAAAAGAAG
This is a non-coding RNA of Pelobates cultripes (western spadefoot toad), 1045 nucleotides long. The record is from the annotation of a GenBank genome assembly. Lineage: Eukaryota; Metazoa; Chordata; Amphibia; Anura; Pelobatidae.